RNAcentral lists this long non-coding RNA (1337 nucleotides) under Mytilus galloprovincialis (Mediterranean mussel). Lineage: Eukaryota; Metazoa; Mollusca; Bivalvia; Mytilida; Mytilidae. The record is from RNAcentral.
AUUUUUGACAAAUCUCUUGAGACAGGCAAAGUACCAUCAGACUGGAACCAUGCAAACGUUACACCAGUAUUUAAAAAAGGAGACAAACAUCAUCCUGGUAAUUAUAGACCAAUCUCUCUUACCUGUAUCUCAUGUAAAUUACUUGAACAUAUACUAGCUAGCAAUAUGAUGAAACAUCUUGAAGCAAAUAACAUCCUAUAUGAACUACAACACGGAUUUAGAGCAAAAAGAUCUUGCGAAUCUCAAGUAAUAUCUCUUAUACACCAACUAGCUCAAAACAACGAUAAAAAUAUACAAACUGACUUAGUUAUCAUGGAUUUUGCCAAAGCAUUCGACAAAGUGCCACACAAACGCUUACUUUUCAAAUUAAAACACUACGGCAUCACUGAUCAGGCAAUAAACUGGAUCCAAUCAUUUUUAUCUAACAGAACUCAAACAGUCCUUCUCGAAAACACGACAUCUGAAAAAAUUCCAGUAACAUUAGGCGUUCCUCAGUGCACUGUACUAGGACCAAUACUCUUUCUUAUCUACAUCAAUGAUUUACCUGACUACCUUAAACACAGCCAAAUAAGACUCUUUGCAGACGACAGCAUUAUCUACCGGCCUAUUACCUGCCAAAACGAUUGUUAAGCUUCAGAAGACAUAGAAGCAGCUAUUAAAUGGGAACACGACUGGCUCAUGUCAUUCCACCCUGACAAAUGUAACAUCUUAAGAGUCUCAACAAAGAAAAAACAAAUACACUUCUAUUACAACAUGCACGGUCAUAUCCUAGAACAAGUACAAUCAGCUAAAUAUCUAGGCAUUACAAUCUCUUCAGAUCUCAAAUGGAACAAACAUAUACAACAAUCAGCAGCAAAAGCAAAUCAAUCUUUAUCUUUCGUCAGACGCAAUCUAAAAAUUAGUUCAAAAUUAGUGAAAGAAAGAGCAUAUCAAACUAUAGUAAGACCAAAACUCGAAUACUGUUGUACCGUUUGGACCCAUACACAUCAGAAAAUAUAUACAGACUGGAACAAGUGCAAAGAAGAGCUGCACGAUAUACAUGCAACAGAUUUCACUACACCAGCAGUGUAUCUGAUAUGCUUCAAAAUCUGAAAUGGCAAACUCUACAAGAACGAAGGCUUAAAACCAGAUUACAAAUGUUCCACAAAGUAACGAAAUUGCUAUACCAUCACAAGAUAUUCUGAUAAAAAGCCAGUCCAAAACAAGAUCUACUCAUCAAUUAACAUUCAGACAGCUCCAAUGCAAUAAAGACAGUUUUAAAUUCUCAUUCUUUAGCCAAACAAUCAAAGACUGGAAUAAACUACCACCUGAAAUUUCAAACAAAACUUCUACAGACA